Non-coding RNA from Cinara cedri, 291 nucleotides. The record is from the annotation of a GenBank genome assembly. NCBI's taxonomy places the organism in Eukaryota, Metazoa, Arthropoda, Insecta, Hemiptera, Aphididae.
UCGCAGUAUUUAUCUCUUGCAGCGGUUCUUGAACUGUGCACUUGCUGUGAGACCCUAUGGGCACCGUGAGCCAAUUCCAGCAAUAUAUAUCGCGGUUUAUAUGGAAACAAAUAAUUUAAAAUUUAUCGUAAUUUGUUUUUAUUGAUUUUAAUAUGACAACAAACAUAAGGCAACAACAGAUUCGUUUUUCACUUUUAAAAAUGCAGUUUUUGUGCGUUGUAAUAUUUGUCGGUGGUUUUUUUUUUCCGAUCGGUAACCAUCAACGGCGACUAUAAUGUUCGUUUUUCAUUU